Long non-coding RNA from Oncorhynchus tshawytscha (Chinook salmon), 430 nucleotides. RefSeq lists it as uncharacterized. Lineage: Eukaryota; Metazoa; Chordata; Actinopteri; Salmoniformes; Salmonidae. The record is from RefSeq and is a predicted model, not a curated record. The transcript is spliced from 3 exons.
UAUUUCCCUUUGAAACCAUGGAAUAGAUUCUAAGAGAACAUUAUUUAUGAUGAAACAACAUUUGCCUAUGAAACCAUGGAAUAGAUUCUAAGAGAACAUUCUUUAUGAUGAAACAACAUUUGCCUAUGAAACCAUGGAAUGGAUUCUAAGAGAACAUUCUUUUUCACAGGUAUUAUGGUGUUGUAACCUUGGUAUCAAUAUUUCAGUACUCCAAUGUGUACUGCACAACCCCUACAGUCCAGAGCCUGAUAGAUGACAGGUCCAUUCAGGAGGAGUGUCUCAACUAUGUCACCAAGAAAGGACAGAAGAGAGCCUGUUUAAGGGAUGUGUUCCAGCUGUACUGUGGUCUGACUCCAGGCACCACAGUUCGUGAUCUUUGCUCCCGCUACUCACAGCAGCUGCAGAGGGUAGGUGAGAGGUGAGUUAUUAA